UUGCCCGUUGGUGGAUUUGUGAGGCAGCAAGUCAUCUGCCCCCAGGUUAGUUGCUGCGUGGAGUGGUGCGUGCGGUGAGCAUCGUCGCCGUCUGUGUUGGUGAGCUGGGCACUGUACCACAAGUGCUUCGUGGGACAGUGUAGAUGCGUCAGUUUUGUUUGUGAGUGAAUCGCGGAAUCAAUUGCCGAUGGCCUUUUUUGUUGUCAAGCGAGAAGUGUGUUGCUCCAUCUAUAGCCAAAAUGUAACAGGACAAUCGGAGAUGACUGGAGAGAUGCUUCUUUGGAUGGCUGGAGUAUUGGGUGCUAAUAACCGCGCAUACGAGAGUGGCAGUGCCACAUUUUCUGUGCGAUUAUGGAUUGAUUGCAGCAUACGUCUUGGAUUCUGACACUUUUAAGGUAAUUGGAUUGGCUGUAGUUGUAGUAUUGAUUAUCAUCUUAAUGUGGUUUUCUUUUCUUUUCAUGCAUGGCUUCUUUUGUUUCAUUUUGUUGCUGAGCGUCGCUGGCAUUCCAGAAUGCGAUUUUAAAAGAGUCGCCAUUCUGGUUGCCAGUACGAGAUGCAAUUGUGCGAUUGGU
Drosophila albomicans is the source of this 572-nucleotide long non-coding RNA. RefSeq lists it as uncharacterized. The transcript is spliced from 4 exons. The record is from RefSeq and is a predicted model, not a curated record. Lineage: Eukaryota; Metazoa; Arthropoda; Insecta; Diptera; Drosophilidae.